RNAcentral lists this ribosomal RNA (459 nucleotides) under uncultured bacterium. RNAcentral's name for it is "partial 16S ribosomal RNA". It matches the Rfam family "Bacterial small subunit ribosomal RNA", at positions 338 to 795 of the family's 1533-position model. The record is from RNAcentral.
CCUACGGGUGGCAGCAGUGAGGAAUAUUGGUCAAUGGACGAGAGUCUGAACCAGCCAAGUAGCGUGAAGGAUGACUGCCCUAUGGGUUGUAAACUUCUUUUAUAUGGGAAUAAAAUGUUCCACGUGUGGGAUUUUGUAUGUACCAUAUGAAUAAGGAUCGGCUAACUCCGUGCCAGCAGCCGCGGUAAUACGGAGGAUCCGAGCGUUAUCCGGUUUUAUUGGGUUUAAGGGAGCGUAGGUGGAUUGUUAAGUCAGUUGUGAAAGUUUGCGGCUCAACCGUAAAAUUGCAGUUGAAACUGGCAGUCUUGAGUACAGUAGAGGUGGGCGGAAUUCGUGGUGUAGCGGUGAAAUGCUUAGAUAUCACGAAGAACUCCGAUUGCGAAGGCAGUUCACUGGACUGCAACUGACACUGAGGCUCGAAAGUGUGGGUAUCAAACAGGAUUAGAUACCCUUGUAGUC